Long non-coding RNA from Ochotona princeps (American pika), 248 nucleotides. RefSeq lists it as uncharacterized. NCBI's taxonomy places the organism in Eukaryota, Metazoa, Chordata, Mammalia, Lagomorpha, Ochotonidae. The transcript is spliced from 3 exons. The record is from RefSeq and is a predicted model, not a curated record.
CAGGAGGUGGACCUGUGUGAGAGGCGACAGCGGCCCCUGCUGUUGGAAGGCUCAAGCUGCAAGAGAGGAGGCCACUUCCAGCCUGAGGUACAGCCCUGCAGCCUGCUACAUGCUUCCCAGGCUGGAGAACACCAACACACCUUCAGUCUUGGUGUCAUUUGAAGAUGUGGCUGUGGACUUUACCCAGGAAGAAUGGCAGACAAUGGACAAUACUCAAAGGACCCUAUAUAGGGAGGUGAUGCUUGAGA